Molecule: long non-coding RNA, 2188 nt
Filed under: Homo sapiens (human)
Lineage: Eukaryota; Metazoa; Chordata; Mammalia; Primates; Hominidae
Description: HSALNT0084263
Source: RNAcentral
CCUGUAUCCUCAUUGUAUCUAGGACAUAAUUAAUUUGCUUUUGAUUUAACAGGCUCAUAGGGGAAAAGGACUUGCCUUGUCUCAGAUGAGACUUUGGGCUUGGACUUUUGAGUUAAUGCUGGAAUGAGUUACGCCUCUGGGGUACUGUUACGAAGGCAUGAUUGGUGUUGGAAAGGCAUAAUUGUGUUUUGAAAUGUGAGGACAUGAGAUUUGGAAGGGCCCAGGGGUGGUUUACCUCAUGCUGUUCUCAUGAUAAUGAGUGAGUCUCACAAGAUCUGAGGGAUUUAUAAAUGUAUGGCAUUUCCCCUGCUCGCACUCAUUCUCUCUCCUAACACCCUGUGAAGAGGUGCUUUCACCAUGAUUAUCAAGGUACAUGAAAAAGGACCCGGACAAUGGCCCCUGGACAGUGCCUGGCACCUAGAAACACAAGCAUUAUCUGAAGGAAUUAAUUGUUAUUUCCUUAACACCUCGUAACUGUACUUGGCAUAAAGCGGAAGCUCAGUGAAGGUUUCGGAAGUGUGGAUUUUGAAAAUAAUAAAUGUAUACAGGAAGAAAGAACCCAAAUGACACUCAAAAGUCAUUCAAGCAUCUCAUAUCUCUUCGUUUUACCACUUGAGUGGACACUAACUAGUAAUUUUCCUAAUCUUUAAAUCAAAAUACUGCUGUGACAACUGUCUGCUAAGUACUCUGAUAUACCUAAUAUUUUUUGUUUGUUUUGGACUAAGAAGCAUUAUCUCAGUAUUUUCAAACCCAACUUCUCAUGCACUGCUAAAUACAGUCACUAAGUGUUCUAUACCCCUGGAAUCAAGAUCAUCUGUCCUUGCUGUCUUAAGUUUUGCCUCUGGUGGAGGUGAGUGCACCUGCCACCAUCAUCAAAAGCUUAGACUGCCCCUUUUCUACUGGCUGUAAGAGAGGAGGGAGCAUUUUCUUCUCUCUGGGGGCACAUUUCACUCUCAAACGUGGGUUCUAGUUUGAAAGACAGCAACAUAUUUGCAGAUGGGCUGCAAUAUUAUUUGUUUCAGAAUAAAUAAGGAAAUCAAGUAGCUAACAUUCCUUUACUUCCCCAAAGAAAGAAAAAUGUUAAUUCAGUCUGAAUAAUAAACAGAAUCAGGUCUUGCUAAAUCAGCCAUUUAUCAAAUUGACUCUGUUGCACUUAUGCCCAAUUGAUCCACAUACAAUUAUCGUGACUGGCAUACGUUGCUAAAGUUUGGGGGCUGAUGGAGGAGAGAGGGAACAGAUAGUACUGCACACAUCAUUACCCAGCUGGGGCCUAUGAGCCAAGGGUGCAAUGAGGUGGCCAGCAGCCUCAGGAUAAACAUGGCUUAUUGUACUGGAGCACUGACAUUUUCAAAACUUUGGAGAGAACGAAUUCUAGACAAUUAAAUGUAAACUUAUCAAGAACUAUCCUUUUUAUAUAAAACAAUGUCAAGGAUUUUAAGAACUAGAAUGAACUUUUACAUGAAUUUAUGAGCUAAAAGAUAAAAUUGUAAAGGGAAAUCCCUUAGGCAAAAAGGCUUCUUAAGUUAUAUAAUCAGUCCCUGCACUGUCCCCACUGCCAUUAGGGAUUUCAGCAGAAAUAUUUAAGAAGUUCAACCACAAACAAGGCUGCCUUACUAUUUCCAGCACACCAAGCCCUAACACACACAUCCACCUCCCAGCUGUACUUUCUUUCCUUUCUUACAAAACCCCAACUGGUUCAUUCAUGACCCACUCAGGGAUACUCCCUUAAGGAAAUUUUCCCAGAAUUAACCCAAAUAAGGUUAACCCAAGUAACCCACUCCCCAAUACAAUGCAUGAGCAUCUGAGACUCACUCAUUCCACCAGCUUUCAAUUUCUGCUUCCCUACCAGGGUGCAAGAUUCUCCACUCUGGAGCUGACUUUCAUCUCUGCACUCAUAAUUCCUGCUACCUUCUGGGCUCAAUAACUAUCUGAAGAAUCCAUGAACUUACUUUUAAUCUUGGAUGGUUGUGCUGAAAUUGAUGAGAGAAUAGUGGCCAAGAAAGUCACAUGGGCAAGAAGAGAUGAAAGCAGAGGGUUAGGAGUGAAGGGGGGAGUGACAAGACAUGAGGCUGGAGAAAUAAGCAAAGGCCAGACCAAAGUAAAGAAGAUGAAUUUAGAAUGAGUGCAAUGAGAAGCCUUCAGAAUUUGCAUAGAGGCACUCAUAAAUUUGCAAGUUAUUGCAAUUUCC